This 20-nucleotide small nuclear RNA is filed under the name Arabidopsis thaliana (thale cress). RNAcentral's name for it is "snRNA_06301". Lineage: Eukaryota; Viridiplantae; Streptophyta; Magnoliopsida; Brassicales; Brassicaceae. The record is from RNAcentral.
ACGUCUGUUGGGAGGUAGCA